AGUGAACGCUGGCGGUAGGCCUAACACAUGCAAGUCGAACGGCAGCACAGUAAGAGCUUGCCCUUACGGGUGGCGAGUGGCGGACGGGUGAGGAAUACAUCGGAAUCUACUUUUUCGUGGGGGAUAACGUAGGGAAACUUACGCUAAUACCGCAUACGACCUACGGGUGAAAGCAGGGGAUCUUCGGACCUUGCGCGAUUGAAUGAGCCGAUGUCGGAUUAGCUAGUUGGCGGGGUAAAGGCCCACCAAGGCGACGAUCCGUAGCUGAUCUGAGAGGAUGAUCAGCCACACUGGAACUGAGACACGGUCCAGACUCCUACGGGAGGCAGCAGUGGGGAAUAUUGGACAAUGGGCGCAAGCCUGAUCCAGCCAUACCGCGUGGGUGAAGAAGGCCUUCGGGUUGUAAAGCCCUUUUGUUGGGAAAGAAAAGCAGCAGGUUAAUACCCCGCUGUUCUGACGGUACCCAAAGAAUAAGCACCGGCUAACUUCGUG
Molecule: ribosomal RNA, 492 nt
Filed under: uncultured bacterium
Lineage: Bacteria
Description: partial 16S ribosomal RNA
Rfam family: Bacterial small subunit ribosomal RNA
Source: RNAcentral